This 61-nucleotide transfer RNA is filed under the name Onisimus nanseni. Its description in RNAcentral is "tRNA-His". The record is from RNAcentral. Lineage: Eukaryota; Metazoa; Arthropoda; Malacostraca; Amphipoda; Lysianassidae.
ACUUUAGUAGUUUAAAAAAAAUAUUAUAUUGUGGAGAUAAAGAUGCUAUCUGUUUAAAGUA